This 396-nucleotide ribosomal RNA is filed under the name uncultured soil bacterium. Its description in RNAcentral is "bacterial SSU rRNA". It matches the Rfam family "Bacterial small subunit ribosomal RNA", at positions 26 to 435 of the family's 1533-position model. The record is from RNAcentral.
AGAUUGAACGCUGGCGGCAUGCCUAACACAUGCAAGUCGAACGGGAGUAGCAAUACUCUAGUGGCGGACGGGUGAGGAAUACGUAGGAAUUUGCCCUUAAGUGGGGGAUAACCCGGGGAAACCCGGAUUAAUACCGCAUGACCUCGAAAGAGCAAAGUGGGGGAUCGCAAGACCUCACGCUUUUGGAGAAGCCUACGUCGGAUUAGCUAGUUGGUGAGGCAAUGGCUCACCAAGGCGACGAUCCGUAACUGGUCUGAGAGGAUGAUCAGUCACACCGGAACUGAGACACGGUCCGGACUCCUACGGGAGGCAGCAGUGGGGAAUUUGGACAAUGGGCGCAAGCCUGAUCCAGCCAUGCCGCGUGGUGGGAAGAAGGCCUUCGGGGUUGUAAACCUA